UACGGAGGGUGCAAACGUUGCUCGGAAUCAUUGGGCGUAAAGCGCACGUAGGCGGCCUGUUAAGUCGGGUGUGAAAGCCCUCGGCUCAACCGAGGAAGUGCAUUCGAAACUGGCAGGCUUGAGUAUGGAAGAGGGUCGCGGAAUUCCCGGUGUAGAGGUGAAAUUCGUAGAUAUUCGCAAGAACACCAGUGGCGAAGGCGGCUCACCGGCCCGAUACUGACGCUGAGGUGCGAAAGCGUGGGGAGCAAACAGG
This 253-nucleotide ribosomal RNA is filed under the name uncultured bacterium. Its description in RNAcentral is "partial 16S ribosomal RNA". It matches the Rfam family "Bacterial small subunit ribosomal RNA", at positions 524 to 776 of the family's 1533-position model. The record is from RNAcentral.